Gallus gallus (chicken) is the source of this 579-nucleotide long non-coding RNA. RefSeq lists it as uncharacterized. The record is from RefSeq and is a predicted model, not a curated record. Lineage: Eukaryota; Metazoa; Chordata; Aves; Galliformes; Phasianidae. The transcript is spliced from 3 exons.
ACCUCUGUAAGGGCAUCUCAGUUUGGAGAAGGAAGCGUGAGCUCCAAGAGCUGACUGUGAGUGACUCCAGAGCUGAUCUGAUUGGGGCCUACCAAAUCCAUUAACGACGUCGAAAGUAGCCUACUUUAAGAGAAAAUAUGCAGAAGAAGAACAUCUACAUCAGGAUUACCAUGAGUAUUGUCCAAAACACCUGAUACUCCCUGAGGACCGGACUUGUAUUCUAAAACUUUCUCUCCAGAAACUCCGAUUCCUGGAAGAUCCCGAAGCCUAUCUCCGUAGGUCGGUGUUAAUUAACAAUCUGUUGAGGAAGAUUCACCUAGAGACAGAGAGGGAGAGCUAUGAGUACUUUAAGGAGGCUCCGUGCUAUAGGACUGCUUACUCUGACUCACGAAAACGGCUGAAGUUUAUGGUACACGAGUGCUGUUCCCAGUCGCUCUAUUAUGAAGAGCUGCAUUCGUAUCGCAUUGUGCCUUAUUCUGCAGAGAACGCCGUUUAUGGGAUGGGCUACACAAGCAGCCACCUGGAGCAAAAUUCUCAAUUGCUUAUUUAUAAAAUGAAUUAAAGUAGCUGUUAGACCCA